RNAcentral lists this ribosomal RNA (50 nucleotides) under uncultured eukaryote. Its description in RNAcentral is "partial small subunit ribosomal RNA". The record is from RNAcentral.
CGGGGCUAAGUCGUAUCAAGGUAGCAGUAGGUGAACCUGCAGAAGGAUCA